RNAcentral lists this long non-coding RNA (214 nucleotides) under Elaeis guineensis (African oil palm). Its description in RNAcentral is "long non-coding RNA (EGUI_LNC002640)". Lineage: Eukaryota; Viridiplantae; Streptophyta; Magnoliopsida; Arecales; Arecaceae. The record is from RNAcentral.
GGUUCCAUACGAAUUAGGAUUUUGGUAUCAAAGCAUCGAUUCUAGGUUGUAUAUGGUAAACACAAGGUCUACAUACCAAGCAAUCGGUGAAUCUCCUUCCAUCUUGACAAGACACCAUUGACCACCACAGUCGAAGAUGAGUACUCAAGAGGAGAUCAGUUCGAUGAAUGUGAUGGCCGAGCAGAUUAAAAAGAUGGGAGAUCUGAUGACAGCC